AUUAAGGGGGGGAAAGCCCACACAGCAGGAGAACAAAUACAUACAAAAGGCAGCUAUAACCUUUUGACACAAAUAAGCACAGAUCAGGUAAAGGCUGGAAGGAGUUUGUUUUGUUAGCAGUGUUGAAGGGGGUGGAAAUAAAAAAGGCACAAGAAUUAUACCAGCUUCCGUAGGCUCUUCAGCAUAUAAAUCUUGACCUUUUCCAUUAGAGGCAGAGAUGUGUGCUCUGAUAUAUGAUCACAGUCCCUCCCCUAGUGGCUGUAAGGCUGGAUAACUGCAGAUGACGAUCACUGCAAAUGCGCGGUAGCAACCUUCAGAAGGGGGCUGAAUCAGCUAGCAGCUUAUCAUUCACCAGGAGGCAAAAAUAACUUGUGCACCUUGUUUAGCCUCUCUCCCUGCUUAGAAGCCCUAGAUGGCCAAGGAAGGUUGCAAGAGCCUUGCUUUGUCUCUGUGCAGGGUGAAAGAAGUUAAAAUAUUCAGCCGCUCAGCAUGCUCCCUUCUAAGAGAAUGGUACCAGAUGCACCUCCAGCCUAACCUACCUCACAGGGCAGUUGUGAGGAUGAGGAGAGCCACGUCUGCCCCUCAAGCUCCUUGGAGGGAAGGUGGAAUAUAAAUGUAAUAAAUAAAGACUAAGAGUUGUCAGCCAAUUAAAUUCUACUCAGCAGGGGUGCUAACUUGAAUGAAAUAUUGGGGGGCCAGGUAAGCCCCACCCCACAUAAUCACACACACCAUUUGAAUGACAAUGCCCAUCAAGUUUGCAGGCGCACAGACCCCUCAAAUAUUUUAUUGCAGGGGCUGAAGCCCCCACGGCCCCUAGAAGUUGGCACCUAUGCUACUCAUUGUAGACCCCUUGAAAUUAACAGGCCCAAGUUACUCAUGUCUAUUCCUUCCAGAGGCUCAACUUUUGACAGGCUUAGGAAAACUUGGCCCUCCAGAUGUGUUUGGACUGCAACUCCCAUGAUCCCUAGCUAACAGGACCAGUGGUCAGGGAUGAUGGGAGUUGUAGUCCCAAAAACAUAUGGAGAGCCGAGUUUGCCUAUGUCUGGCCUAAUGCUUAACCAAACCUUUACAGAUUGGUGGUAGCUUCGGGUUUCAUGGGUUGGAGUCUUCUGCCAUCAAUUUUAAGGUGCUACAGGAGACUCUUUUUUUUGAUAUAAUGUAUUUUGUUGUAACUUAUAACUGGGGUUUAUAUGCAACUUAUAACUAAAGAGGAUGAUGUGUGGAAAGCCUAACUUAUUUUUUUCUUUUACAUGCAAACAGGUUUGGGAGUCGAUAUGUGAGGCACAGUCUGCCAGACUCUCCCAAUAACAUCUUUUCUGGUGUCCAUGUACAGGAAACAUGCUCCACAGAACACGAUCCAUGAGAGUGAGAUUUCCAGUCAACCACCGGCGCAUGCAGCUUGACUAAACAAGCACCAUAUGCCCUGAAAUUUGACAAAUUAGUGCAUAAUUAACAUUAAAUUAUGAAGAAACGGAG
Non-coding RNA from Podarcis lilfordi (Lilford's wall lizard), 1476 nucleotides. NCBI's taxonomy places the organism in Eukaryota, Metazoa, Chordata, Lepidosauria, Squamata, Lacertidae. The record is from the annotation of a GenBank genome assembly.